This 906-nucleotide ribosomal RNA is filed under the name Triticum aestivum (bread wheat). Its description in RNAcentral is "partial small subunit ribosomal RNA". The record is from RNAcentral. Lineage: Eukaryota; Viridiplantae; Streptophyta; Magnoliopsida; Poales; Poaceae.
AUGAUCGCGCACGGCGCAGUGGAGCUUGCCCCCGGCCGAGCCGAUCUCCCACAUGCCGCUGUCGCCGGGGCAGAGUACCAUCUCGACGCGCCCCGUCAACGGGCUGUACCCCACGGCCGUGCCGACGCUCGUCCGCCACCACGCCGUCCCACCGGCCGCCGCGCCCGACGCGGCGACGAGCCCUUCGGCGGGCACGACCGCGUCGGUGGCCCGCCACGCGCCCGUCCCGGACGUGAACACCAGGAAGCAGUAGGCGCCGGAGCCCGGCGCGCACUCAGCGGCGCAGACGAGCGCGUAGUCGCCGCGGAAGUUGUACGGCGUGGCGUCGAAGAGGACGACGAUCGCGGGGCGCGGCCAGGUGCGGCACGGCGGGGACGGGACGGGCGCCCAGGACGCGGUGGCCGGGUUGCACACGAAGAACGCGUCGUCGGCGGGCGAGUAGCAGCACGCGACCCCGUGCGACGACGAGAGCACGGUGACCUCCUCCGAGGCCGGGGCAAAGGCGAGCGUCUGGGACGGCACAGCGUCGUCGGGCCCGUCGAACGGGAGGAAGCCUGCCUUGGGGACGAAGAGGCCGGACAUCCGGCGCGGGGCGGCCGCGUGCGCCACGGCGAAGAGCGGGGACGCGAGCCGGCGCUCCCAGGACGGGUGCACGAGGCGGAGGCGCGCGGCGGCCGCGGGCGGGAGGUGCACCAGCGCGCGCUCCCGCAGCACGUCGGCAAGCGGCGGCGCCCGGACGGCGGUCACGCGGCUCCGCAGCCGGCGCCUCGACGGCCCCCGGCACGCCCGCGGAUCCUCGCUGGUCGACGCGUCGCCGGAGUACAUGGCUGCCUGACCAGCAGACGGAUCGUGCCCACGCGCGCUGCCGUGUCUACUCCUCCGCGGCGGGUGUUACGAGCAGAGUAG